Molecule: long non-coding RNA, 2079 nt
Organism: Herpailurus yagouaroundi (jaguarundi)
Lineage: Eukaryota; Metazoa; Chordata; Mammalia; Carnivora; Felidae
Exons: 3
Source: RefSeq, a predicted model, not a curated record
GCAUUCUCAUGUUUAUUGCAGCAUUAUUUAUAAUAGCCAAAAUACAGAAACUACCUAAGUGUCUGCUGAUGGUUGAAUGGAUAAAGUAAAUGUUUAUAUUGUUGAUUUGCAAGCUCCCCAGGUGUAAUCUGAAGUUGGCCCCCAUAGUGAAGGGCAGGGAGAGAGGGAGAGGCAGGCCACUUCAGAUUGGUAGGUGGCAGAUUUAACAAGCACAGAAACUUACAUACAAGGCUUGUCCUGGGCUGCAGCAAGGUAACUAAAUUUCUGCACCCACCUACCAAAUCCUUAAAGUUUAUACAGAGGCUUAACUGGGUUCCGUCAUAUAUACCAUCCAGAUGGUCUCAAUAGCACAACAUUAUCACAAGGGUAUGUCCUUGGGGAAGCCUCUGAGAGCAGGGAAGGCAAGCAGAACCCACGUUGUAAGAACCAGAGAGAGCUGCAAGAAGCCUCCAGUUGCCCAGGGCCGGUUCAUGGGUCAACUGACAGUCACAGCCUCUUGAUGACCUCCUCCAACAUAUGCAUACAAUGGCAUAUUAUUCAGCCUUUUAGAAGAAGGAAACCCUAUCAUAUGCAACAACCAAAUCCAGGUUCAUAUGGUCAACCUGAAGGAUUUCAUGGUAAGUGAAAUAAGCCAGUCACAGAAGGCAAGAUAGGGUCUUUAACGAGGCAAUCAAGUUAAAAUGAGGUCAUUAAAGUGGGUCCUAAUUCAAUAUGACUGGUGUCCUUAUAAGAAGAGGUAAUUAGGACACAGGCAUAUGCAAAGGAAAGACCAUGUGAAGACACAGGGAAAAGAUGGUCAUGUACGAGCCAAUGAGAGGCCUCAGAAGAAGCCAAGCCUGCUGACACACUAAUCUUGGACUUCGCCUCCAGAACUGUGAGAAAAGAAAUUUCUGUUAUUUAAAUCCACCCGGUCUGUUUUACUUUGUUAUGGCAGCCCGAGCAAAGUAAGACACCGCUCAUUUUAAUGUAGAACAGUUUUAUUCUCCACUUCACUGCUCUGAACUCAUGAAAGCCUCCCUUGGUAAAUCCUUAACCUCAUUAAGCCUCUUUUCUAAACAAAAGACCAUUCUCUCAGGAUAUUUGCCCUUUAGUAGCACAGAGUACCCAUAGAGGCUGAGAAAUUAGUCUUUGCUCGAGUAAGAUCAAACUCGUUGGCACAUCAGUCUUCUUAAGUGGGAAGGGAGCAGGAUAAAAGUCUAUUCUUCCGUAAUAAAGAAUACACCACCUCUUAAGAAGCUGGAAGCACCUACGGCCAGAUUUUCUUUUGUUUGCUUGAAAUGGCAGUUUCCCCCUUCCCAGUUGGUUCACGUGCACUCACACAGCCGUUCACUUAACAGUGGGUUAUUAAGAGCCUCCUGUGUGCAAGCCACUGUGUCAAAGAUAAGCCCAUGAAGUCUUGCUUAAAGGGCAUCACAGAAAUGAACAGUAGCUGAAGGUGGAUGUGGAGUUAAGGGAACAGUUCUAUUUUUCUUUCCUUUUCUUUUUAAAAAGAGCUCGGGAGAUACACAGUGCUGACAGGAACAUCUCAGUAGGAAGGGAGAGAAGGACAAAGGCAGGACCUUACAAGCUCCAGCAGAGUGUGGACCAUGGACCACCUGUAUCAGAAUCAACUAGAGAGCACGUGUAAAUGCCGCAUUUGCAUAUUCAGCCUCUCCUGAGGAGCUGAACACACAGGAAACACUGAGAAAUGUUGCUGCUUUCAGAAGCAUCAAGAUGUAACUCCAAACAAAAGCUUUGUGCCCUGCAACUAGCCGUCUUUCUUCAUCUGGUGAGCAGCAUUCGUGGGUUCUCAAUCCCAUCUCUAGAAAACUAGUUGUCCCAGGUAGAGAAGCCACAAACUCUCCAGGACCUCCAGGACCUCUGUCUCCAGGGACUCGGAGUCAAUGGCUGCCCUCCAGCACUGACACUGGACUGUCACUCGCUUUUUCUCCAUUCCUUUUUCUUUUAAAUCGAGUGCAGGGGUCAAAAGGAACGGCUGCUGGGAGGAUAGACAGAACAGUUUCGUUCAACACAAUGUAAAGGUUUUACAGGAAAUAUUUGCUGUUUCAUGUAUAAUUGAAUAAAAACGUAACGAAUGUC